CAAAAUGACUCUCGACAACGGAUAUCUCGGCUCUUGCAUCGAUGAAGAACGUAGCGAAAUGCGAUACGUGGUGUGAAUUGCAGAAUCCCGUGAACCAUCGAGUUUUUGAACGCAAGUUGCGCCCAAAGCCUUUUGGUUGAGGGCACGUCUGCCUGGG
RNAcentral lists this ribosomal RNA (157 nucleotides) under Garcinia morella. RNAcentral describes it as "5.8S ribosomal RNA". It matches the Rfam family "5.8S ribosomal RNA". From Rfam's summary of the family: 5.8S ribosomal RNA (5.8S rRNA) is a component of the large subunit of the eukaryotic ribosome. It is transcribed by RNA polymerase I as part of the 45S precursor that also contains 18S and 28S rRNA. Functionally, it is thought that 5.8S rRNA may be involved in ribosome translocation. The record is from RNAcentral. Lineage: Eukaryota; Viridiplantae; Streptophyta; Magnoliopsida; Malpighiales; Clusiaceae.